This 207-nucleotide long non-coding RNA is filed under the name Bos taurus (domestic cattle). RNAcentral's name for it is "long non-coding RNA NONBTAT019001". Lineage: Eukaryota; Metazoa; Chordata; Mammalia; Artiodactyla; Bovidae. The record is from RNAcentral.
GUUUUAUAGACAGCCUUAUCUUAGCAAAUGUUAUACUAAACUUAAAUGUCUUUCUAGGCAUCACAGUGUGUCUUCUAUUUUUUAAAAAAGCAUUUCUCCAAACAUCAUCCCAACUUACAUAAACACAGAAUCCUUAUUUCAUGAAGUACUUAUGAAUACAUGUAUUUCAUGGAGCAAGCAUAAUUUAGGAAAUGCUGAUUAAAAAAG